CAGUAUAGUACAAUUCUAGUUUAAUCAAGAAUAAGUGUUUGAAUUAAAUGAAUAUUGUGGGUAAUACAUGCGAUCCCUGUGUUUAUGCCCAAAAGAUGAGGAAUUAGGGCAUGACCAUGGAUUUGAAAGCUAUCGUUCAGCAAACCAUACAAACUGUACAAUGUAGGCCACAGAGACCAUAUUGUCUGUCUUUUACAGGUACCACGCACCAUAAAGUUUUGUACCUGGUAGGGCUUUGCUAAUGAAAAAUACAUUUAAGUUGUUAGGUGAAACGAGGUGAAGAAUUGCAAGAUUUGGGAGCCCAUUCUCUGUAGAUUUGUUUGACAGCCUUGUACACAGAACUACAAACUAUUAGAUAAACAAUCAUUGAAAAUCUUUGCCAUCCAUACUUAAACUUCUUCUGCGUUCAUAGGCAGUCAUAUAGUCGACUUAUAUGUUUGGUUCGUGUGCUACCUGUGCACAUUAGUCCAACUGGAAACGAAAGUGCAGUUUAGAGUUCAGACAGCGUGUUCCGAAUUGCAUCACACGGGAGAGAUCUGUCAUGUAGAAUUAUGACGUAACACUGGAAUAUUCGGAACGUGGGUUUCCAAGUUCGGUGUCAUCGCAGUUCUGGCGCAUUUGCGAAACUGCUCUGAAUCGCAAUAGACUCAUUGGACAUGGUCCUGUUAGUCAUUAAAAUAAUAAUAUGUCUGCUGGCGUUAGUUACGUUGGAAGACAAAAUCUUUCACCUGGCUCGCAUACCGAGACUGGCCUUAAGGCUCUCUGGAGGGGGGGCGCCUUUCUUGGACUCCGAGCAGGACGCACCCGGCCUGGUGGAGCUGAGCUUCAGACAGUCUAAUGAUCCGGCUCCUCUCCUGCCUCCUCUGGACCCGCCAGGGACCGAAGAGGUACUGGGAGACUGCAGUCUCACACCCGUGUCUACAUCGCCAUCCCCUGGUUCGCUGGUCCCGAAUGCCGCGGCGCUCGGCAACAACCUUUCAGCGAUCGCUGCGAGGGUGGUCCAGUUGGACUUGGACCCGGAAACUGAAACAAUGAAGAUUGGAGAAGAAGCGGUUUGGAUCAUUGCUGGCCUUUCGCUCCUGUUCACUAUUGUCGCUAUGCGGAGAGAAACUUUGAUCCUGGCUUCAAGAACUAAAGCUACCUGGACCUCUGCUGUCAGCACUCAGCCGUCCUUAUGCCUUCAGGCCUCCAUUCCCUCCUGCUCUCGUACUUCAAGAGUAGUUGUUCCCUUGCCCUCCCGUAAGCUCCCUCAAUGUACCUCAGCUCUCCGGCCCAUCAACACCAGGCCCUCUUUCUCCAACAAUCUUUUUUGUCCACUUCCACCGAUUCUACAGUCAAUCUACAGUCAACUUCGCCAACUUCUCUGUGGGUCACCCCUGAUGCCUCACGAUGUCUCAUACCUACUGCCUCGGUCUGGGUCACCCCUGAUGCCUCACAGUGCCUCAUACCCGCUGCCUCGCAAUGGGUCACCUCUGAUGCCUCACGAUGCCUCAUACCUACUGCUUCUCUAUGGGUCACCUCUGAUGCCUCACGAUGCCUCAUACGUACUGCUUCUCCAUGGGUCACCAUUGAUGCUUCACGAUGCCUCAUACCUACUGCUUCUCCAUGGGUCACCACUGAUGCCUCAUGAUGCCUCAUACCUGCUGUCUCGCUAUGAGUCACCCCUGAUCCCUCUCAAUGCCUCAUGCCUGCUACCUCAAUAUGAGUCACCCCUGAUGCCUCUUGAUGCCUCAUACCUACUUCCUCUCCACGGGUCACCCCUGAUGCCUCAUGAUGCCUCGUACCUACUGCGUCACAAAAGAUCACUCCUGAUGCCUCACGAUGCCUCAUUCCGACUGUUUCUCCAUGGGUCACUCCUGAUGCCUCACAAUGCCUCGUACCUACUGCCUCAGCAUGGGUCUCUCCUAAUGCCUCACAAUGCCUCGAACCUACUGCCUCACCAUGGGUCUCCCCUAAUGCCUCCCAAUGACUCUAACCUACUGCCUCAGAAUGGGUCACCACUGAUGCCUGAUACUCCCUCAUCCUUACUGCUUCUCCAUAUGUCACCAAUGCUAACUCAUCCUGCCUCAUCCCUACUUUCUUGCUCUUUCCCAUCAAUGCUGCCUUACUAUUUCUCUUGCUUGUUGCCUCAUCUUUACUCUGUCUUGCUGCCUCACCGUGUAUCACCCCUCCUACAUCUUUUUUUUUCACUUGUGCCAUCUCAACACAGCCGGGCCCUGCCAUCUCCCCUUUUCUCAGUUCUGUUUCCUUACAGUAUCUCUCCGAUACUGUUGACCUGUUUCACCCGCUACCUCUGCCCCUCUUCCUUGCCCUCACUUCCUAGCACCAGAAUCUUCCAGGAACACCCUGACAAUGGUCUCUCCUGCCUUGAUGUCAGAUCUAAUGCUGAAUGUCUAGAGCUGGAAAUUGAUUAGGAAAAGACUGGUUAAAGCAUUAUGGAAGAGGUGGAGAUAGAUGAAUUGAUCACCAGCAUGACAGGUGGCUAAUUGUAUACUUAUUUACUCUAGUUUAUUGGAGUAUUAAAUUUUUUAAAAACAAUUCUCAUGUAUGGGAUUUGGUUUUUGAGUGGCUUUUUAUUAUUAUAAGAUUAACAGCAUCUUUCCAUUUAAAAUGCCAUGAGUCGGGGAAAUCAGGUUGGUCACAAUGGGUGAGGAUGGUGAAGAUGUGAAUUCCCGAGUUAAACAGAACAAUCUGGGUUAAUUUUGUCCACUCUUUAUUGCUUAAAUUUGAGCCACCUCUUUAAGGAUUAUGUCCAUACCAUGUGGCAUUUUAUGAAAAUAAACAAAGACAUGUACAGUGCUGACAUUAUGCUCUAUAAAGCUAAUCCGUCUACAGUACCACAGCAUACAGUAUUAACAUAAAUGGUUUCCUUUGUACCACAUCUGUAAAUUCUUCAUUGUUUUUCUUAAUCAUCUAUUAAAUAUUUAUAACUCGUCUUAAAUAUUUAUAACUGACAACUUAAGUGAGUUUCUACAUUUACCAUAUUAAUGGCUCUGUUACCUGCAGUCCCUUGAAAAAAAACAGUUCUUUGCUUAAAUUCUUGAACCUUUGUCAUGUGUCAAAGACAUACACUCAGUUCUAAACAGGAAAUUCAUUUUUUCAUAGAGAAAAGCAUACUGUGUUUUAAAUAAAUGCUGUUUUAAAGCCUCAGUACUGAUUAAACAUCAAGGGGAUUAAGUUAUACAAUAGCACCCAUGUUAACCAUUCCCUUGUGCAGUCUGAUGUUUUUCUUUUUGUUGCCAUUAUAUCAGAUCAGUAAUUCUGAUCUGAAAGAUAUACUUUUCCCCCUGAGCCUGGUAGGGAGUAGCAUAAGCAUCUGGUGUUGCAAAAAGUCACCUCUAUGUGACUUGUCACUGUGGACUUUCUCUCUUAAUAACACUGUUUCUGCUACUGUAUAUUGAACACUUGGGACAUCAUCUAAACAAACAUGGAGUUAAAUUGGUUUCUUCAUAUGUCUGAAAUUGGUCUAGAAAGCAGAUAUGACUUUUUUUUUAUUUAUGGAGUUACUAUAUGUCUUGCAAAAAAUCUUAUUUCACAUUUUACAUCGAUGAAGCUGUUUCUGAUUAUGAGUUCUGUUUUACAGAGUAAAAUGCAGUUUAAAUUUUGUAGUGAAGACAUGGUUGCACACCUUUUAUUUGGGAAAGAAUAUGUCUGUGGUGAUUAAAGGUGAUUUAUUUUCUCUUGAACCUUUUCACAAACCUCAUUUUGAAAUUGCACAAUUUCAAGGAGACAAAAAUAAAACAUUUAGUUUAGGAAUAGGAAUAUCUCAUUCAUUGAGUGUAUUUCUCUUCAAGUAAAAUUAUUUGUCAAGUAUUUGUAUUGAAAUUAGUUCAUUACCAUGGAAUAUUUGAAAAUUGAUGCUAUUGCUUAUCUACCAAUAAAAAAUAUGUAUGCAUUCUGCAC
RNAcentral lists this long non-coding RNA (3903 nucleotides) under Lepisosteus oculatus (spotted gar). RNAcentral's name for it is "lncRNA (ENSLOCG00000021674.1)". Lineage: Eukaryota; Metazoa; Chordata; Actinopteri; Semionotiformes; Lepisosteidae. The record is from RNAcentral.